RNAcentral lists this ribosomal RNA (395 nucleotides) under Clostridioides difficile. RNAcentral's name for it is "bacterial SSU rRNA". It matches the Rfam family "Bacterial small subunit ribosomal RNA", at positions 834 to 1262 of the family's 1533-position model. The record is from RNAcentral. Lineage: Bacteria; Bacillati; Bacillota; Clostridia; Peptostreptococcales; Peptostreptococcaceae.
UCCGCCUCGGUGCCGCAGCUAACGCAUUAAGUACUCCGCCUGGGAAGUCAGCUCGCAAGAGUGAAACGAAAAGGAAUGAACGACGACCCGCACACGAAGAACCUUACCUAAGCUUGACAUCCCAAUGACAUCUCCUUAAUCGGAGAGUUCCCUUCGGGGACAUUGGUGACAGGUGGUGCAUGGUUGUCGUCAGCUCGUGUCGUGAGAUGUUGGGUUAAGUCCCGCAACGAGCGCAACCCUUGUCUUUAGUUGCCAUCAUUAAGUUGGGCACUCUAGAGAGACUGCCAGGGAUAACCUGGAGGAAGGUGGGGAUGACGUCAAAUCAUCAUGCCCCUUAUGCUUAGGGCUACACACGUGCUACAAUGGGUAGUACAGAGGGUUGCCAAGCCGUAAGG